Molecule: long non-coding RNA, 2835 nt
Organism: Magnolia sinica
Lineage: Eukaryota; Viridiplantae; Streptophyta; Magnoliopsida; Magnoliales; Magnoliaceae
Exons: 4
Source: RefSeq, a predicted model, not a curated record
UCUAUUUUGUGUCAUUAGGCAGCUUCAAUUACUGAAAAGAUUUCAUUUGUGUACAUACCUUCCCCUGGUAAUCUUUAAAACUCAUGCAUCUCUUUCUACUAUUAAGAGUACAUGAACAUGGAAACACUGGAGCACCGGUUGCAAACUUCAUUGAGAUCUGAAAGUUAGUCUCAUCAAACUGGCAACCUGCUGAGGAUAGUGAUGGCGACUAUUACAGGGAUUCAAGUAGUGAUGGAAGCAAUGAUUCUCAGCUUGAAGGAGGGUUCAAAUAUACAAGGGAGCGGUCGAACUAUCAUCAUCCUGCAAGUGAGGUUGCGUGUAGAAUGGACACACUGUCUUUGCGAGAGAAGCAUGUUACUAUCCAAGAAGGCUUUGUGAGAGAAGCAUGUUGCUAUCCAAGAAGGCUUUUCGAUCUGGUGCAGCUUGUGAAACGAUGUCUAGAUUUUGUUCAACAACAAGGCUUGAAGAAUAUUGCUGGAUUGGUAAGCAUUUUCUAGCAUUGGGAAUAGAGAAUCCUGAUGUCUAUUUCUCUGAAAUUAAGGGUAUUUUUCUCAUCAUUUAUGCUUCUUUAGAAUUGAUUCUUAGUUACCAUUGUAUGUAUUUCAUUUUUAACCACCUAAUCAAUGUCCACCAAUUCAUUGGUCAGAUAAUCAAAAUAAUCUCUUUUUUUUUUUCUAGUUAAUGAUACAUCUGAACUGGAAUAUUUUAUUUGGAUAGUUUAAUUUGAAUUUCUUGUAUGCCAGGUAUUCAAUUUUUAAGAAAUUUGAAAGUGCUUGCAUACCAUCCAUCACACUCUGUCAGAGUAUUGAAGUUCUUCUCUCAUACAAUUUUUACGUAGCUAAAAAAAGACUCAAUGAUGCAGGUCACAGGCAGUCCAUGCAACAAAGACUUUUGGUCUAUGUUGGGAUUCUUGAAGUAAUCAUUGAUUUGCUUUGACCGAGGUGACCUUCUAGAAAAUCUCUCUAAGCUUUGUUUGAGGUGACCUUUUCUAACUCCACUAAAAUUCCACCAACAUCUGUAACAUGUACUUCUCGUUAGUGUAUACAUGUUCAUUUCUUUGAUACAAAUAGUCCAAUGUACCUGAGGUGGCCCACCAGGCCAACAAUACCAAUCACUAUAUGUGUUUUCCAUGUGAACUGAAGGGAGUGAGCUGCAGAGAAGAGUGUCAUACUAAUGUUCCUCUUAAACUAAAGAUCAAUUCAUUAUGGAGCAGAGAAUUUUGCGAUGAGAGAUAGGCCUAUGAAUCCAUUCAGGCAGACAGGUGUGUGUUAUAUCAGAGCCGCUCAUCAAGACAUCUCACAAUUUAAAUGGCAUGUCUUAGAAAUCAGUUCGUAUGUAUACAAGAUAAAUGCAUUGUUAAUAGGAUCAAUGGCCCACAUUAAACACACACAUGUAGCCUACCUGAUGGUCAGCUUGGCCCGAUCCUUGGUAGACACGAAUAUUCCUAGUGGGGAUGGCCUGACAUCUUCACACUGGAGCUAGCUGUCUCGUGUCACAUCUUAUUUCCAUGGAAUUUUUUGUGGUAACACAAGGAAAUUUUGGGAACCAAACCUGGCAUCCCGCUAAUAAUUCUACUCCAAGGUGAACACCAUUUUCUAGCGAUUACGUUCCUACCUUUUCAACAUGGAAUUUAAUUCUGUAUUCACCAAAGCUGUUUGUAGGCAUUCUCAUCUUGCGUAAAGUCAUCUUGGGGAAGAUGCUGUAAAUGUAGGCAGUGUCGUUAUUGGUUGUACAUAGUUAUGUCUUUCAAUGCCAUUUUUUUUUUUCUGGGCUAACAAAACAUCAGUUGUUAUGACGCAGGAACCCGGAGUAGCUGAAUCUGAGUUUGCUAUGAUUGAUAUGGGAACACUCAUCAAGAAAUUUCUUACUCUUCGCAAUCCGGGUCCUCUAAUUGUACCUAAAGGAGCUCUUGCAGAAUCGCCUCCCAAACCAAUUACCUUGCCUCCAUGGUUGUGUGAAGAGGAUAUUGAUUAUUAUGUCAGUAAAUUCAGCAAGUCAGGCUUUACUGGAGGACUGAACUACUACCGAAAUAUAGAUCCAUAUGUUUUCUACCAACUUCUUUUUAAUUGUUAUAAGUUGCUGAUUUGAAAUAUGUCUCUUAUUAGAAUGACUACUUAUCUAUGUUUUCCAUGUGAAUAAAAUCCCUUUUUUUUUUCCCCCUGUUUUGAUGCAAGCAGUUCUGACCCCAGAGUUCAAAAACCCGAAAACUUGACUCGACUAAAUGUCCCAUCGGGUCAGGUUGACUCGAUGUCUUAAGAUGACUCGACUCAAUAUUUUAAUAUAUAAAUUAAAAGUGUUUGGAGUUGUUAUAAAUACUUGAAAACAUUUGACAGGGAUAAAGACUUUUCUUUUAUUUUGUUUGGUUUUCGUUACUGAAUUUGAUUCAUGGUGAAUGGACUUGUAAACUAGAGAAACAUGGAUAGCAUAUUCUGGUAGACUGGUUGUGAGUUGCAGAAAAUAGGUUUGCAGAGGCCAAGGAUCAUAUAAUUUCUCAAUUUUCCAAUGCAUUUAGGGGUCAUUUGGAUGCCUGGAAGUUUUAUUAGUUGUCAAGGGUUUAGAGGCAACCCACUCAAAGGUGGUGUUUGGACGGAAAAUUUCACCUGUAAGCGAGUUACAAGUUGCAAGUCACUCACAACUUUUUAGUGCAUUUGAAAUCCUAAGCAAAAGAAGUGAUUUCACUUACUUGUAUGCAACUUAAGUGAUUUCACUUGUAUGCAACUUACAAUGGCCAUGGGAUGGAGGAGUUCGUCCCUCAAAGGACACCGGCUUAUAUCAGUCAACAUGAUCUUGAUAUUGGGGAAAUGACGGUGAGAGAGACCAAGCCUUCUUGCUUCU